This 495-nucleotide ribosomal RNA is filed under the name uncultured bacterium. RNAcentral's name for it is "partial 16S ribosomal RNA". It matches the Rfam family "Bacterial small subunit ribosomal RNA", at positions 28 to 507 of the family's 1533-position model. The record is from RNAcentral.
GACGAACGCUGGCGGCGUGCCUAAUACAUGCAAGUAGAACGCUGAAGGAGGAGCUUGCUCUUCUGGAUGAGUUGCGAACGGGUGAGUAACGCGUAGGUAACCUGCCUGGUAGCGGGGGAUAACUAUUGGAAACGAUAGCUAAUACCGCAUAAAAUUGAUUAUUGCAUGAUAGUCAAUUAAAAGGUGCAAUUGCAUCACUACCAGAUGGACCUGCGUUGUAUUAGCUAGUUGGUGAGGUAACGGCUCACCAAGGCAACGAUACAUAGCCGACCUGAGAGGGGGAGCGGCCACACUGGGAAUGAGACACGGCCCAGACGCCUACGGGAGGGAGCAGUAGGGAAUCUUCGGCAAUGGACGGAAGUCUGACCGAGCAACGCCGAGGGAGGGAAGAAGGGUUUCGGAUCGUAAAGCUCUGUUGUAAGAGAAGAAAGAGUGUGAGAGUGGAAAGUUCACACUGUGACGGUAUCUUACCAGAAAGGGACGGCUAACUACGUG